CUCAGUGGAUGUGAUGACUUUUUUCCCCAACAUAUCGACAAUGCUGAUAUUGUGCUGAAUUUUUAGCCAGUAUUACCUGAUCUGCUGAG
Rhopilema esculentum is the source of this 89-nucleotide small nucleolar RNA. RefSeq annotates it as small nucleolar SNORD12/SNORD106. NCBI's taxonomy places the organism in Eukaryota, Metazoa, Cnidaria, Scyphozoa, Rhizostomeae, Rhizostomatidae. The record is from RefSeq and is a predicted model, not a curated record.